GCAGUCGACGCUUCUUUUCCCACCGGAGCUUGCUCCACCGGGAAAAGAGGAGUGGCGAACGGGUGAGUAACACGUGGGUAACCUGCCCAUCAGAAGGGGAUAACACUUGGAAACAGGUGCUAAUACCGUAUAACAAUCGAAACCGCAUGGUUUCGUUUUGAAAGGCGCUUUACGGUGCCGCUGAUGGAUGGACCCGCGGUGCAUUAGCUAGUUGGUGAGGUAACGGCUCACCAAGGCCACGAUGCAUAGCCGACCUGAGAGGGUGAUCGGCCACAU
This 276-nucleotide ribosomal RNA is filed under the name Enterococcus mundtii. RNAcentral describes it as "partial 16S ribosomal RNA". It matches the Rfam family "Bacterial small subunit ribosomal RNA", at positions 60 to 313 of the family's 1533-position model. Lineage: Bacteria; Bacillati; Bacillota; Bacilli; Lactobacillales; Enterococcaceae. The record is from RNAcentral.